RNAcentral lists this ribosomal RNA (460 nucleotides) under uncultured bacterium. RNAcentral's name for it is "partial 16S ribosomal RNA". It matches the Rfam family "Bacterial small subunit ribosomal RNA", at positions 338 to 795 of the family's 1533-position model. The record is from RNAcentral.
CCUACGGGAGGCAGCAGUGAGGAAUAUUGGUCAAUGGACGAGAGUCUGAACCAGCCAAGUAGCGUGAAGGAUGACUGCCCUAUGGGUUGUAAACUUCUUUUAUAUGGGAAUAAAAUGUUCCACGUGUGGGAUUUUGUAUGUACCAUAUGAAUAAGGAUCGGCUAACUCCGUGCCAGCAGCCGCGGUAAUACGGAGGAGCCGAGCGUUAUCCGGAUUUAUUGGGUUUAAAUGGAGCGUAGGUGGAUUGUUAAGUCAGUUGUGAAAGGUUGCGGCUCAACCGUAAAAUUGCAGUUGAAACUGGCAGUCUUGAGUACAGUAGAGGUGGGCGGAAUGCGUGGUGUAGCGGUGAAAUGCUUAGAUAUCACGAAGAACUCCGAUUGCGAAGGCAGCUCACUGGACUGCAACUGACACUGAGGCUCGAAAGUGUGGGUAUCAAACAGGAUUAGAUACCCCAGUAGUC